This 253-nucleotide ribosomal RNA is filed under the name uncultured bacterium. RNAcentral describes it as "partial 16S ribosomal RNA". It matches the Rfam family "Bacterial small subunit ribosomal RNA", at positions 524 to 776 of the family's 1533-position model. The record is from RNAcentral.
UACGUAGGGUGCGAGCGUUAAUCGGAAUUACUGGGCGUAAAGUGUGCGCAGGCGGCUUCGCAAGUCGAGUGUGAAAUCCCCGAGCUUAACUUGGGAAUUGCGCUCGAAACUACGGAGCUGGAGUGUGGCAGAGGAGAGUGGAAUUUCGUGUGUAGGGGUGAAAUCCGUAAAUAUACGAAGGAACGCCAAAAGCGAAGGCAGCUCUCUGGGUCCCUACCGACGCUGGGGUGCGAAAGCAUGGGGAGCGAACAGG